RNAcentral lists this unclassified non-coding RNA (335 nucleotides) under soil metagenome. RNAcentral's name for it is "partial contains 5.8S ribosomal RNA, internal transcribed spacer 2, and large subunit ribosomal RNA". The stretch from base 1 to 120 matches the Rfam family "5.8S ribosomal RNA", at positions 35 to 154 of the family's 154-position model. The record is from RNAcentral.
GAUGAAGAACGCAGCGAAAUGCGAUAAGUAAUGUGAAUUGCAGAAUUCCGUGAAUCAUCGAAUCUUUGAACGCACAUUGCGCCCCCUGGUAUUCCGGGGGGCAUGCCUGUCCGAGCGUCAUUGCAACCCUCAAGCGCGGCUUGCGUGUUGGGCGCCGUCCCCCGUGGACGUGCCCGAAAGGCAGUGGCGGUACCGUGCUCCGGUGCCCGAGCGUAUGGGCUUAAAACCCGCUCUUGUGGCCCGGCCGGCGCUGGCCUCGACCCCCAACUUUACAAGGUUGACCUCGGAUCAGGUAGGGAUACCCGCUGAACUUAAGCAUAUCAAUAAGCGGAGGA